GCGGAUGUAGCUCAGGGGUAGAGCACUUGCUUCCCAAGCAAGGUGUCGCGAGUCCGAAUCUCGUCUUCCGCUCCA
RNAcentral lists this transfer RNA (75 nucleotides) under Acholeplasmataceae bacterium. Its description in RNAcentral is "tRNA-Gly". It matches the Rfam family "tRNA". Rfam says of the family: Transfer RNA (tRNA) molecules are approximately 80 nucleotides in length. Their secondary structure includes four short double-helical elements and three loops (D, anti-codon, and T loops). RNAcentral also lists the same sequence under 2 other names. The record is from RNAcentral. Lineage: Bacteria; Bacillati; Mycoplasmatota; Mollicutes; Acholeplasmatales; Acholeplasmataceae.